This 98-nucleotide small nuclear RNA is filed under the name Chinchilla lanigera (long-tailed chinchilla). The record is from RNAcentral. Lineage: Eukaryota; Metazoa; Chordata; Mammalia; Rodentia; Chinchillidae.
GUCUCAGCACACAUACUAAAAUUGAAAUGAUACAGAUAGGAUUAACAUAGCCCCUGUUCAAGGAUGGCAUGCAUAUUUGAGAAGUGUUCUAUAUUUUU